This is a long non-coding RNA of Portunus trituberculatus (swimming crab), 167 nucleotides long. RefSeq lists it as uncharacterized. The record is from RefSeq and is a predicted model, not a curated record. The transcript has 2 exons. Lineage: Eukaryota; Metazoa; Arthropoda; Malacostraca; Decapoda; Portunidae.
AAUAAUAAUAAUAAUAACAGGAAUUGGAGGGGAAAAAGGAAAUUGGUAUUCGGAUGAAACGAAAGGCUAUCUACAAUGUGUGUGUGUGUGUGUGUGUGUGUGUGUGUGUGUGUGUGUGUGUGUGUGUGUGUGUGUGUGUGUGUGUGUGUGUGUGUGUGUGUGUGUGA